Molecule: ribosomal RNA, 3027 nt
Filed under: Salmonella enterica subsp. enterica serovar Anatum str. USDA-ARS-USMARC-1175
Lineage: Bacteria; Pseudomonadati; Pseudomonadota; Gammaproteobacteria; Enterobacterales; Enterobacteriaceae
Description: bacterial LSU rRNA
Rfam family: Bacterial large subunit ribosomal RNA
Source: RNAcentral
GGGUUGUGAGGUUAAGCGACUAAGCGUACACGGUGGAUGCCCUGGCAGUCAGAGGCGAUGAAGGGCGUGCUAAUCUGCGAUAAGCGCCGGUAAGGUGAUAUGAACCGUUAUAACCGGCGAUACCCGAAUGGGGAAACCCAGUGUGACUCGUCACACUAUCAUUAACUGAAUCCAUAGGUUAAUGAGGCGAACCGGGGGAACUGAAACAUCUAAGUACCCCGAGGAAAAGAAAUCAACCGAGAUUCCCCCAGUAGCGGCGAGCGAACGGGGAGGAGCCCAGAGCCUGAAUCAGCAUGUGUGUUAGUGGAAGCGUCUGGAAAGGCGCGCGAUACAGGGUGACAGCCCCGUACACAAAAGCGCAUGUGCUGUGAGCUCGAUGAGUAGGGCGGGACACGUGGUAUCCUGUCUGAAUAUGGGGGGACCAUCCUCCAAGGCUAAAUACUCCUGACUGACCGAUAGUGAACCAGUACCGUGAGGGAAAGGCGAAAAGAACCCCGGCGAGGGGAGUGAAAAAGAACCUGAAACCGUGUACGUACAAGCAGUGGGAGCCCCACCACUAAGCCAGUGGUGAACUCCACAUACGCAUCCUUUGCUGAGGAUACGGUUAACGGAGCGAAAGCGACGUUCAACCGCAAAAGAAGCAGAGGGGGCUUAGUGGUGGGGUGACUGCGUACCUUUUGUAUAAUGGGUCAGCGACUUAUAUUCUGUAGCAAGGUUAACCGAAUAGGGGAGCCGGAGGGAAACCGAGUCUUAAUUGGGCGUUAAGUUGCAGGGUAUAGACCCGAAACCCGGUGAUCUAGCCAUGGGCAGGUUGAAGGUUGGGUAACACUAACUGGAGGACCGAACCGACUAAUGUUGAAAAAUUAGCGGAUGACCUGUGGCUGGGGGUGAAAGGCCAAUCAAACCGGGAGAUAGCUGGUUCUCCCCGAAAGCUAUUUAGGUAGCGCCUCGUGAAUUCAUCUCCGGGGGUAGAGCACUGUUUCGGCUAGGGGGCCAUCCCGGCUUACCAACCCGAUGCAAACUGCGAAUACCGGAGAAUGUUAUCACGGGAGACACACGGCGGGUGCUAACGUCCGUCGUGAAGAGGGAAACAACCCAGACCGCCAGCUAAGGUCCCAAAGUCAUGGUUAAGUGGGAAACGAUGUGGGAAGGCCCAGACAGCCAGGAUGUUGGCUUAGAAGCAGCCAUCAUUUAAAGAAAGCGUAAUAGCUCACUGGUCGAGUCGGCCUGCGCGGAAGAUGUAACGGGGCUAAACCAUGCACCGAAGCUGCGGCAGCGACACUGUGUGUUGUUGGGUAGGGGAGCGUUCUGUAAGCCUGUGAAGGUGUGUCGUGAGGCAUGCUGGAGGUAUCAGAAGUGCGAAUGCUGACAUAAGUAACGAUAAAGCGGGUGAAAAGCCCGCUCGCCGGAAGACCAAGGGUUCCUGUCCAACGUUAAUCGGGGCAGGGGGAGUCGACCCCUAAGGCGAGGCCGAAAGGCGUAGUCGAUGGGAAACGGGUUAAUAUUCCCGUACUUGGUGUUACUGCGAAGGGGGGACGGAGAAGGCUAUGUUGGCCGGGCGACGGUUGUCCCGGUUUAAGCGUGUAGGUGUGUGUUCCAGGUAAAUCCGGUUCACUUUAACACUGAGGCGUGACGACGAGGCACUACGGUGCUGAAGCAACAAAUGCCCUGCUUCCAGGAAAAGCCUCUAAGCAUCAGGUAACACGAAAUCGUACCCCAAACCGACACAGGUGGUCAGGUAGAGAAUACCAAGGCGCUUGAGAGAACUCGGGUGAAGGAACUAGGCAAAAUGGUGCCGUAACUUCGGGAGAAGGCACGCUGACACGUAGGUGAAGUGAUUUACUCAUGGAGCUGAAGUCAGUCGAAGAUACCAGCUGGCUGCAACUGUUUAUUAAAAACACAGCACUGUGCAAACACGAAAGUGGACGUAUACGGUGUGACGCCUGCCCGGUGCCGGAAGGUUAAUUGAUGGGGUCAGCGCAAGCGAAGCUCCUGAUCGAAGCCCCGGUAAACGGCGGCCGUAACUAUAACGGUCCUAAGGUAGCGAAAUUCCUUGUCGGGUAAGUUCCGACCUGCACGAAUGGCGUAAUGAUGGCCAGGCUGUCUCCACCCGAGACUCAGUGAAAUUGAACUCGCUGUGAAGAUGCAGUGUACCCGCGGCAAGACGGAAAGACCCCGUGAACCUUUACUAUAGCUUGACACUGAACAUUGAGCCUUGAUGUGUAGGAUAGGUGGGAGGCUUUGAAGUGUGGACGCCAGUCUGCAUGGAGCCGACCUUGAAAUACCACCCUUUAAUGUUUGAUGUUCUAACGUGGACCCGUGAUCCGGGUUGCGGACAGUGUCUGGUGGGUAGUUUGACUGGGGCGGUCUCCUCCUAAAGAGUAACGGAGGAGCACGAAGGUUGGCUAAUCCUGGUCGGACAUCAGGAGGUUAGUGCAAUGGCAUAAGCCAGCUUGACUGCGAGCGUGACGGCGCGAGCAGGUGCGAAAGCAGGUCAUAGUGAUCCGGUGGUUCUGAAUGGAAGGGCCAUCGCUCAACGGAUAAAAGGUACUCCGGGGAUAACAGGCUGAUACCGCCCAAGAGUUCAUAUCGACGGCGGUGUUUGGCACCUCGAUGUCGGCUCAUCACAUCCUGGGGCUGAAGUAGGUCCCAAGGGUAUGGCUGUUCGCCAUUUAAAGUGGUACGCGAGCUGGGUUUAGAACGUCGUGAGACAGUUCGGUCCCUAUCUGCCGUGGGCGCUGGAGAACUGAGGGGGGCUGCUCCUAGUACGAGAGGACCGGAGUGGACGCAUCACUGGUGUUCGGGUUGUCAUGCCAAUGGCACUGCCCGGUAGCUAAAUGCGGAAGAGAUAAGUGCUGAAAGCAUCUAAGCACGAAACUUGCCCCGAGAUGAGUUCUCCCUGAGACUUAGAGUCUCCUGAAGGAACGUUGAAGACGACGACGUUGAUAGGCCGGGUGUGUAAGCGCAGCGAUGCGUUGAGCUAACCGGUACUAAUGAACCGUGAGGCUUAACCUUACAACGCCGAAG